GUCAGGCAUCCUGGGAAGUUUCGUUUUCGUUCAGUGGGAGGACUUUCGCGGAUGGACCUGCCCUCCUCAUUCUUGGAUCUAAGCAGGUGGCCUGUGGACGUUUGUCACGGGAAGGCUCAGUGGCUGGUGGCAUGUUGCACCGUUGCUUCGGACGGAGGUCGCGUCCCCGCAGGGAUCUUUCCAGUGAACUUUGACCUCCCCAGACCCCGCCGCGUGGACUGUCCCUGUGUUGGUGCCAUGUGAGGGCCUCACUGCCUCCCCGGGCUUGUCCUCAUGGCCGGGGCUGCUGGUGCAGUGGGCGAACAGAACCGGCUCAGCCACCACAAGGACGAGGACGGGAAUGGGGCUCAGUCUCAGCACAUCGGGGAUGGGGGUGUGCCUGUGAGGCAAGGCCAGAAAGGUCUUGGUCUGACUCCUGGAUGAACCUCAAGGCUGGAGGAGAGGAGAGGGACAGGGCAAGAGAGGGGCAACCUCGGGGGAGGUCCCCUCCACGCGUUACAUUUGAGAAGCCUCUAGUCCUUGGUGGGGUUCAGAAUACAUGACCCCAUAUUGAUAACUCUGAAUUAAAGAUGCUGGAGAAACAGCCCACGAAGGAAGGGCACUCCGACCGCCUCCCUCACACCACCCUCCUGACCACGGAGACGAAUCUCCCCCCGCCAGAGGCACCCUCCCCACACAGGAGGCUGGUGGGAAAUCGAGGGAUGGAGGCUGUGUGAACAGACCUCUCCUCCUCCGGUUGUUUAGGACCCCAGCCCAAACCGCUGUCAGUUGUUCACAAAUUCCCCGUUCGUCUGUCUAAAAGGCAUGAAAGUCGCCUGCUUGGUCACUUGUUCGAGACUUCCGUCUUCGUGGGGCUCCCUCAC
Molecule: long non-coding RNA, 863 nt
Organism: Leopardus geoffroyi (Geoffroy's cat)
Lineage: Eukaryota; Metazoa; Chordata; Mammalia; Carnivora; Felidae
Exons: 3
Source: RefSeq, a predicted model, not a curated record